GCUCUGUAGCUCAGUCGGUAGAGCAAAGGACUGAAAAUCCUUGUGUCGCCAGUUCGAUUCUGGCUGGAGCCA
RNAcentral lists this transfer RNA (72 nucleotides) under Solobacterium sp. RNAcentral's name for it is "tRNA-Phe". It matches the Rfam family "tRNA". From Rfam's summary of the family: Transfer RNA (tRNA) molecules are approximately 80 nucleotides in length. Their secondary structure includes four short double-helical elements and three loops (D, anti-codon, and T loops). Lineage: Bacteria; Bacillati; Bacillota; Erysipelotrichia; Erysipelotrichales; Erysipelotrichaceae. The record is from RNAcentral.